UUUUAAAUACUGUAUUGUUCUGCAGUUGUGAUGGCAAAAACUGAGUAUCUGAUAGGUGAAAACGAUUGGGAAAAAAGUUUCGAUCUUUCGGAACGUUGAAAACGUCGAUUUACAUGGUGACAUCUAGUGGCCAAAUAGUGUUCCAUGGACACCGUAUUAGACAAACGUAGUAUUUGUAAAAGUAUAAUCGAUAAACACUAAUUUCAUGUCAGUACAUUCAGCUGGACAACGGCGAGACAUCUCCAGCUACUGGUCCUCUUCAUCGUGAGCCAGAAAGGAAAAAUGGCAUCUGUGUGUCCUGUUCUGUUCCUGGUCCUCGCCGUUGGGUGGGCUGCCAUGCCAGUGAUGUCUGAGAUCGACGUUCAAGCCAAUGAGUCGCGAUAUCAGAAAUUCCUCAGGCAGCAUUUUGACCCAAAAAUGGCAGUAAAAAAAUGUGACAGUACAAUUAAAAGUAGGAAGAUCUAUGGCAAUGAGGACACUCACAGCU
Molecule: long non-coding RNA, 487 nt
Organism: Brienomyrus brachyistius
Lineage: Eukaryota; Metazoa; Chordata; Actinopteri; Osteoglossiformes; Mormyridae
Exons: 3
Source: RefSeq, a predicted model, not a curated record